CACACCAGAAUUGUACUACAGAGGGAUAAAAAAAAGAGAAAGAUGAGGAAAACCACAAAAACGCAUUGGAAACUGUAAAACGAUACCUCAGUUGUGCUGAACUUUGCACGGACUACACUUCUGGAUAAAUUACCUCAGAGUGUAGAGCCACUAUCUCUUCAUCCAGAUAUCCCACAUCUGCAACCUACAGCAGAAAACACACUUUUAAAUACCUGCAAGUCGUGCUGGAUGCUGGUCUUGAAAAAAAUCAGCUUAGCUCGAAGCUGCUGCGACUGGGAGAACAGCAAGUUCUUGUACCGCGUUAAGUUGGUGUUGUAGCGCAGCAGGCUCAGCCUACACAAACACAAACACAAGACAGUGUGCGGGCGGUCUGCGUGGGUCGAGGGAGAUUCCCGUCUCCAGCAGCAGCUCUUGACUCAGCGGGGAGAUGUGUGUCUGAGUGUGCGUCUCCAGGCGAAGCUGCAGGGAGUGUAAGCUCUCCUCAGCACCCA
Long non-coding RNA from Sebastes umbrosus (honeycomb rockfish), 491 nucleotides. RefSeq lists it as uncharacterized. Lineage: Eukaryota; Metazoa; Chordata; Actinopteri; Perciformes; Sebastidae. The transcript is spliced from 4 exons. The record is from RefSeq and is a predicted model, not a curated record.